UACGGAGGGUGCGAGCGUUAAUCGGAUUUACUGGGCGUAAAGCGUGCGUAGGCGGCCUGUUAAGUCAGAUGUGAAAGCCCCGGGCUCAACCUGGGAACGGCAUUUGAAGCCGGCGGGCUAGAGUCGGGUAGAGGGGAGUGGAAUUCCGGGUGUAGCGGUGAAAUGCGUAGAUAUCCGGAGGAACACCAGUGGCGAAGGCGGCUCCCUGGGCCCAAACUGACGCUGAGGUACGAAAGCGUGGGUAGCAAACAGG
Molecule: ribosomal RNA, 253 nt
Filed under: uncultured bacterium
Lineage: Bacteria
Description: partial 16S ribosomal RNA
Rfam family: Bacterial small subunit ribosomal RNA
Source: RNAcentral